This 433-nucleotide ribosomal RNA is filed under the name uncultured bacterium. Its description in RNAcentral is "partial 16S ribosomal RNA". It matches the Rfam family "Bacterial small subunit ribosomal RNA", at positions 29 to 507 of the family's 1533-position model. The record is from RNAcentral.
AACGAACGCUGGCGGCAUGCCUAACACAUGCAAGUCGAACGAGACCUUCGGGUCUAGUGGCGCACGGGUGCGUAACGCGUGGGAACCUGCCCUUAGGUUCGGAAUAACUCCCCGAAAGGGGUGCUAAUACCGGACAAUGUCUUCGGACCAAAGAUUUAUCGCCUUUGGAUGGGCCCGCGUUGGAUUAGCUAGUUGGUAGGGUAAAAGCCUACCAAGGCGACGAUCCAUAGCUGGUCUGAGAGGAUGAUCAGCCACACUGGGACUGAGACACGGCCCAGACUCCUACGGGAGGCAGCAGUGGGGAAUAUUGGACAAUGGGCGAAAGCCUGAUCCAGCAAUGCCGCGUGAGUGAUGAAGGCCUUAGGGUUGUAAAGCUCUUUUACCCGGGAUUAUAAUGACAGUACCGGGAGAAUAAGCUCCGGCUAACUCCGUG